This 177-nucleotide ribosomal RNA is filed under the name Triticum aestivum (bread wheat). Its description in RNAcentral is "partial small subunit ribosomal RNA". Lineage: Eukaryota; Viridiplantae; Streptophyta; Magnoliopsida; Poales; Poaceae. The record is from RNAcentral.
AAGGCCUUAUCUUCUCUGCUACUUCUUGUGGGGUGGGAACUUUGAAAGGAACGGAAUGCACGCGUCUUCAGAAGCAAGGCGGCGCCGGUGGCGAUCAUACGGAUCAUCAAGGAAGAAAUGUCUAUUUGGGCUAUUGCCGGUGCCAAGAAUUUGAGCAAUGUAAUGCCGCGAGAGUAA